CCGGCGAUGUCCGAAUGGGGAAACCCAGUGCAAUUCGUUGCACUAUCGUUAACUGAAUACAUAGGUUAACGAGGCGAACCGGGGGAACUGAAACAUCUAAGUACCCCGAGGAAAAGAAAUCAACCGAGAUUCCCCCAGUAGCGGCGAGCGAACGGGGAGCAGCCCAGAGUCUGAAUCAGCUUGUGUGUUAGUGGAACGGUCUGGAAAGUCCGACGGUACAGGGUGAUAGUCCCGUACACCAAAAUGCACAGGUUGUGAACUCGAAGAGUAGGGCGGGACACGUGGUAUCCUGUCUGAAUAUGGGGGGACCAUCCUCCAAGGCUAAAUACUCCUGACUGACCGAUAGUGAACCAGUACCGUGAGGGAAAGGCGAAAAGAACCCCGGCGAGGGGAGUGAAAAAGAACCUGAAACCGUGUACGUACAAGCAGUGGGAGCACCUUCGGGUGUGACUGCGUACCUUUUGUAUAAUGGGUCAGCGACUUAUAUUCUGUAGCAAGGUUAACCGUAUAGGGGAGCCGCAGGGAAACCGAGUCUUAACUGGGCGUUAAGUUGCAGGGUAUAGACCCGAAACCCGGUGAUCUAGCCAUGGGCAGGUUGAAGGUUGGGUAACACUAACUGGAGGACCGAACCGACUAAUGUUGAAAAAUUAGCGGAUGACUUGUGGCUGGGGGUGAAAGGCCAAUCAAACCGGGAGAUAGCUGGUUCUCCCCGAAAGCUAUUUAGGUAGCGCCUCGUGAAUUCAUCUUCGGGGGUAGAGCACUGUUUCGGCUAGGGGGUCAUCCCGACUUACCAACCCGAUGCAAACUACGAAUACCGAAGAAUGUUAUCACGGGAGACACACGGCGGGUGCUAACGUCCGUCGUGAAGAGGGAAACAACCCAGACCGCCAGCUAAGGUCCCAAAGUCAUGGUUAAGUGGGAAACGAUGUGGGAAGGCACAGACAGCCAGGAUGUUGGCUUAGAAGCAGCCAUCAUUUAAAGAAAGCGUAAUAGCUCACUGGUCGAGUCGGCCUGCGCGGAAGAUGUAACGGGGCUAAACCAUGCACCGAAGCUGCGGCAGCGACACUAUGUGUUGUUGGGUAGGGGAGCGUUCUGUAAGCCUGCGAAGGUGACCUGUGAGGGUUGCUGGAGGUAUCAGAAGUGCGAAUGCUGACAUAAGUAACGAUAAAGCGGGUGAAAAGCCCGCUCGCCGGAAGACCAAGGGUUCCUGUCCAACGUUAAUCGGGGCAGGGUGAGUCGACCCCUAAGGCGAGGCCGAAAGGCGUAGUCGAUGGGAAACAGGUUAAUAUUCCUGUACUUGGUGUUACUGCGAAGGGGGGACGGAGAAGGCUAUGUUAGCCGGGCGACGGUUGUCCCGGUUUAAGCAUGUAGGCUGGUU
RNAcentral lists this ribosomal RNA (1378 nucleotides) under Klebsiella pneumoniae. Its description in RNAcentral is "bacterial LSU rRNA". It matches the Rfam family "Bacterial large subunit ribosomal RNA", at positions 104 to 1530 of the family's 2925-position model. The record is from RNAcentral. Lineage: Bacteria; Pseudomonadati; Pseudomonadota; Gammaproteobacteria; Enterobacterales; Enterobacteriaceae. RNAcentral also lists the same sequence under 2 other names.